GACGAACGCUGGCGGCGUGCUUAACACAUGCAAGUCGAACGGAAAGGCCCUGCUUUUGUGGGGUGCUCGAGUGGCGAACGGGUGAGUAACACGUGAGUAACCUGCCCUUGACUUUGGGAUAACUUCAGGAAACUGGGGCUAAUACCGGAUAGGAGCUCCUGCUGCAUGGUGGGGGUUGGAAAGUUUCGGCGGUUGGGGAUGGACUCGCGGCUUAUCAGCUUGUUGGUGGGGUAGUGGCUUACCAAGGCUUUGACGGGUAGCCGGCCUGAGAGGGUGACCGGCCACAUUGGGACUGAGAUACGGCCCAGACUCCUACGGGAGGCAGCAGUGGGGGAUAGUGCACAAUGGGCGGAAGCCUGAUGCAGCAACGCCGCGUGCGGGAUGACGGCCUUCGGGUUGUAAACCGCUUUCGCCUGUGACGAAGCGUGAGUGACGGUAAUGGGUAAAGAAGCACCGGCUAACUACGUG
Molecule: ribosomal RNA, 468 nt
Filed under: uncultured bacterium
Lineage: Bacteria
Description: partial 16S ribosomal RNA
Rfam family: Bacterial small subunit ribosomal RNA
Source: RNAcentral